This 253-nucleotide ribosomal RNA is filed under the name uncultured bacterium. Its description in RNAcentral is "partial 16S ribosomal RNA". It matches the Rfam family "Bacterial small subunit ribosomal RNA", at positions 524 to 776 of the family's 1533-position model. The record is from RNAcentral.
UACGUAGGGGGCAAGCGUUAUCCGGAUUUACUGGGUGUAAAGGGAGCGUAGGCGGUGAUGCAAGUCAGAAGUGAAAGCCCGCAGCUCAACUGCGGGACUGCUUUUGAAACUGUAUGACUAGAUUGCAGGAGAGGUAAGUGGAAUUCCUAGUGUAGCGGUGAAAUGCGUAGAUGUUAGGAGGAACACCAGGGGCGAAGGCGGCUUACUGGACUGUAAAUGACGCUGAGGCUCGAAAGCGUGGGGAGCAAACAGG